CCUACGGGAGGCAGCAGUGGGGAAUCUUGCACAAUGGAGGAAACUCUGAUGCAGCGAUGCCGCGUGAGUGAAGAAGGCCUUUGGGUUGUAAAGCUCUUUUGUAGGGGAAGAUAAUGACUGUACCCUAAGAAUAAGGUCCGGCUAACUUCGUGCCAGCAGCCGCGGUAAUACGAAGGGACCUAGCGUAGUUCGGAAUUACUGGGCGUAAAGCGCGCGUAGGCCGUUGAGUUAGUUAAUUGUGAAAUCCCAAAGCUUAACUUUGGAACUGCAAUUAAAACUGCUCGACUAGAGUUUGAUAGAGGAAAGCGGAAUACAUAGUGUAGAGGUGAAAUUCGUAGAUAUUAUGUAGAACACCAGUUGCGAAGGCGGCUUUCUGGAUCAACACUGACGCUGAGGCGCGAAAGUAUGAGUAGCAAAGAGGAUUAGAUACCCUCGUAGUCCAUACCAUAAACGAUGAUUGCUAGAUGUUGGAAAUUUAUUUUCAGUAUCGCAGCUAACGCAUUAAGCAAUCCGCCUGGGGAUACGACCGCAAGGUUAAAACUCAAAGGAAUUGACGGCNGAGAGNGCGAGACGACGACGAGGAGAG
Molecule: ribosomal RNA, 586 nt
Filed under: uncultured bacterium
Lineage: Bacteria
Description: bacterial SSU rRNA
Rfam family: Bacterial small subunit ribosomal RNA
Source: RNAcentral